AUACAAAGAGUUCAAUUCUUAGAUCAAAAAGACUCAAGUUUGGAGAAAUUUGGACUUAAAAUAAAAUUAAAAUAAAAGAAGGAUGCAUAUGGUAUUAUAGAAAAUGAAGAUACUAUGCAAGGAAUCCAAAAGGAUAUAGAUGUCAUUGUGAAGAAACUUUUGUUUCUUUUUGGAAUAUAAAAAAAUGUUUCACGUGAAUUCAAAGGCUCUGGGCGCAUGAAUUCAAAACAAAAGAAA
Molecule: long non-coding RNA, 237 nt
Filed under: Elaeis guineensis (African oil palm)
Lineage: Eukaryota; Viridiplantae; Streptophyta; Magnoliopsida; Arecales; Arecaceae
Description: long non-coding RNA (EGUI_LNC075036)
Source: RNAcentral